Molecule: ribosomal RNA, 486 nt
Filed under: uncultured bacterium
Lineage: Bacteria
Description: partial 16S ribosomal RNA
Rfam family: Bacterial small subunit ribosomal RNA
Source: RNAcentral
GACGAACGCUGGCGGCGUGCUUAACACAUGCCAGUCGAACGCUGAAGACCUGGCUUUUGUUGGGUUGGAUGAGUGGCGAACGGGUGAGUAACACGUGAGUAACCUGCCCUCUUCUUUGGGGUAACGCCCGGAAACGGGUGCUAAUACUGGAUAUUCACUGAUCUUCGCAUGGGGGUUGGUGGAAAGGUUUGUUCUGGUGGGGGAUGGGCUCGCGGCCUAUCAGCUUGGUGGUGGGGUGAUGGCCUACCAAGGAUGUGACGGGUAGCUGGCCUGAGAGGGUGACCGGUGACAUUGGGACUGAGAUACGGCCCAGACUCAGACGGGAGGCAGCAGUGGGGAAUAUUGCACGAUGGGCGAAAGCCUGAUGCAGCGGCGCCGCGUGAGGGAUGGAGGCCUGCGGGUUGUAAACCUCUUUCGCUCAUGGUCAAGCCGCAACUGUGGGUUGUGGUGAGGGUAGUGGGUAAAGAAGCGCCGGCUAACUACGUG